Pipistrellus kuhlii (Kuhl's pipistrelle) is the source of this 148-nucleotide long non-coding RNA. RefSeq lists it as uncharacterized. The record is from RefSeq and is a predicted model, not a curated record. The transcript has 3 exons. Lineage: Eukaryota; Metazoa; Chordata; Mammalia; Chiroptera; Vespertilionidae.
UUUUUUUAAUACCACUUCUUCAAAAUAGAUUCACCCAGGCCAUGGUACUUUGUAGAAGAGCCACACUCAAGGGGCCAAAGAGCUUCAUGUGGCUCGAGAGCCACAGCUUGCUGACCAUGGACUUAGAUUACGGUGACAAGAUGUCCCU